This is a transfer RNA of 99 nucleotides. It matches the Rfam family "tRNA". Rfam says of the family: Transfer RNA (tRNA) molecules are approximately 80 nucleotides in length.
GCCGGGGUGGCUCAGCGGUUAGAGCGCCGGUCUCUUAUUCCGGAGGUCGCGGGUUCGAAUCCCCAAAGAAUAUUUGGGGCGAAAAUCCCGCCCCCGGCA